Conger conger (European conger) is the source of this 2258-nucleotide long non-coding RNA. RefSeq lists it as uncharacterized. The record is from RefSeq and is a predicted model, not a curated record. Lineage: Eukaryota; Metazoa; Chordata; Actinopteri; Anguilliformes; Congridae. The transcript has 2 exons.
GUGUUGUUGAAACAAGUUGAAACUUCUUGUUGAAACGUGAGUUGCUUUGCAGUUUGUUCGCCAUAAAGAAUUCCAGAAUUAUUCCUUCAUCUCACCCUUGUAGGCUGCCUCUUGAGUUCUGUAGGAUUCCAGAAGAACAUUCUUCGGGCCAUCUGGCCAGUGGCUUUGUGGGGACCCUAUUCCCCAUGGUACAGCAACACUGGACUUCCUCUCCAGAGUUCUCACAGAAGACUCUACUGCUCACAAGACAAACAUACUACUACUACUACUACUAGAUUAACUAAUGUACCUCGCUGUAGGAUGGCGUUUGUGUGGCAACUUGCCCCGGAGAAACGCAUCUGUCAAAGUCCUUCACACCACAGUGAUCGGAAAGAACACCAGCUCCAAGAAGAGAGGGCCUCCAUUGUAACAGAUAUUUGCUGAGUCAUCUUCAGUUCACCAGCUCUACUUUAUAAACCAUAAUGCACUGAACCUUGUACUAGUGAGGGAGGGAACGCGUUCUUUAUUGCUUAGCGGGAUGUGUCAGGGAGUGAGCUGCUCCAGUGCUGAGCGUUCUUCCUGUUUUUCCCGGGAGUUCAAGUUUAUUCAACCUGCUGAAGGCUGAGGUUCUCAGAUGUUUCACUUUUCGGCUGUGCCAAGUAGGUCAGGUUCGAGCCCAGCCAUAAAUCACUCUGUGUGCGCCCUUGCAUGGAGCUGAGCUUCUGUUUUUCUGCAUGUGUGCGUGUGUAUCUCUGUGUGUAUGUAUGUGCCCUUACAUGGAGCUGAGCUACUGUUUUUAUGCAUAGAGGUGUGUGUAUGUAUGUAUGUAUGUAUGUAUGUGCCCUUGCAUGGAGCUGAGCUACUGUUUUUAUGCAUGGAGGUGUGUGUGUGUGUGUGUGUGUGUUCGCAUGCGCAUGCAUGCGUGCGCGCGGGUGCAGGUGCGCAAUUGGGUGUGCACUGAAUUGUUCCCUUUUAACUGAAUUAGUUCAGUGCUUGAGGCAACUGUAUUAGUGCACAAGAAAUCUAGAUCUAUGAAGUCCACUUAUGAAAUCCAUGAGGGGACAAAUGUGGGAUAGUACUGCUUCGAAGUUCCCAGAGUUAUUGGAGAGAGCAGUCAAGCUAAUAAUAAUGAUUAGUGAAUUUAGGAAAAUUCUGCUGCAAUCAGGGAAAAUUCUGCUAAAUUCUUCUAGGUAGGUAUGGUCUAACAUUAUUAUUAUUAUUAUUAUUAUUUUUUUUUUUUUUAAUCAGAGGCUCUAUCUGAAAAGGAACAUUUGUAAAAUUGACACCUCAAACUCAUAAUAAGUUAAGUUUUAUGAGAAUAAGUUUCUCAAGGUAGGAUACAGGGGAAAUCCUUGGGAAAGCCUUGAUAAAAAGUACCAUGAGGAAUGAAACCUGAGCACUUCUUGUUUGUGCUACUUUGUGCAUGUAUGAAAACCAUACACUUAUUAUUAUUGUAAAUGCCCCUAGAACAAAAGUGUGUUUGAUGUGCUAAAAUUUUAAAUCGCUUUUGCAGUUGUAAGCAUUUUGGUUUUUCUUCACACGAUGACUUGUGGCCUGAGUGAAGAAUUUCAUGAUGGACCCUCGUCUCUAAUUAGGUCAGAUGUUCUCUUUAUUUUUAUUUUUUAAGUCUCUUUUGGUCAAGACCUAUCACCCAGUGUCUAUUCCUGUCUUGACAUUAUGUCCUCCGGAUAGCCAGCAGAAAAAAAAAGGAUUAUAACAACAGUGCUCACGCUCACGCUCACGACUACUGUCUGUCCUGACUCCACGGUGGUGGAACGAACUCCCCGUUGAGGUCAGAACUAUAGAAUCUCUCCCCACCUUCAAGCGCAAGCUGAAGACACACCUCUUCAAGCAGCACCUCUCCCCAUCCCUCCCUACCUCCCUGUGAACCUUAAUUGUUGUCUCUGUGACUUGCUUUGUGUAUCGGUAUUUUUAGUUGGCUAGGUAAGCAGUGUUUGGAUAGUUAACUUUGGUCACUUUUGCUCUGUUUGUUUGUUUGUUCAAAAAAAAAAAAUGGCCCUUGUCCUUAUCUUUGUUGUACAGGUAGCAGUUGAAAUUGUACUUCCCUCUAGGGUCUUUCAGCGAACUUAUCCCUGGUUAUGGGUAUGCACUUUGUUGUACGUCGCUCUGGAUAAGAGCGUCUGCCAAAUGCCAAUAAUGUAAUGUAAUGUAAUGUAAAAAUGUAUAGAAAAAUUCACUUCCGGGCGGUAAUGAUUCUUGGCUUUCAUCCUCCUACCACAUUACCGUCCCAGUUGCGAAUAUAUAUCGCCGGAACCACA